RNAcentral lists this small RNA (1697 nucleotides) under Cryptococcus neoformans H99. RNAcentral describes it as "Cryptococcus neoformans var. grubii H99 hypothetical RNA". The record is from RNAcentral. Lineage: Eukaryota; Fungi; Basidiomycota; Tremellomycetes; Tremellales; Cryptococcaceae.
CAGCAGGGAGCACGUAAAAGCGGCUCAGGAAGAGAAAAGCCGCCGAAGACCAAAGAAAGGACAACGAAGAGCGAGGCAUUUAUUCAAGAUCGAAAAGCUCCCCAUUUUCCCAUAUUCUCGCCCGGCAUGGUUCUUCUUCAAUGUAGUUAGCUUCGAAGUACAAAUACUGGUGGGAACUUCUGUCCCUGAGAGUGACUUUCUCAUUUCAGUCGAAAAAUCGACCACACCACUGGUCACUGCUGCACGGCGCACCGUCGCCAUUUAUUACCAUUCACGAUCUAUCAAUCAUUUAUCACCACUGAACAGUCAUCACAAGCGGCAAGCAAGGAAGAAGCAGCAGCAGUUCCUUCUAGCAUAAAUGGCAUCAUAGAGUUUCGAUGAUCAAUAAGACCUUACAUCCAUUCUUCAAACAAAACCCAUUACUUAACGACAUUCGGAUCUGCCAUCUUUCGCCUUCAUACUCUCCCUUCACCCCAAGUUCAUAUGAUCAGAUUGGUUCUGCCGGCGAGAAAGAAGAAUGGGCCGAUACAAUAGCGAAUGUCAACACCAGCACGUAGAAGAUAUCAGUAAUAGUAGUACUCAUACAGAGGCUGUGCUGCUGGGUUCACAGACGAUGUACAGCCGCAUAAACCGGUCUUUCCUCGUCUUUCAUCAUUUGUCGAACGCUAUCCGAUACUUAAAUUUCGGAAACCUGGACUUGGUAGGCACACUAUUACACACCAUUGUUGCCACUGUACUUCAUCAGGUCGUGUUAUACCACCCGAAAUAACGGCCUUACCCGUGUCUCUAUUAUACCGUAAUAUCUAGUAUUUUUCAACUUGCGUAUCCUGCCCAUUGAGCGCACCUGGCAAUCGUUGCUGGCAGUUAUUAUGGGUCAAGAUUCACAAAUAACAAAUCAGAAUUCAAAAAAUCCUGUCGAUCUUCGAGAUUGGCGUGUUAGGUAGUAACGCCAACGUUACUACAGUCGGCCACGCUAUUUGCACGCUAUUCAUUCCUCCCUUCUCAUCAUUCAUCUGCCAACUACUCAUUAUUGCAGACUAGAAGCUAAUGCAUUACACAUAAUCCGUUGCUGUGCUUUCAAUCGCGGAAGGCAAAUAGACCCUCGCCUGAUUUUAGAGAUCAGAGAUCACAAAGAUGAAAGUGAUCAGAAGCCAACUAAUAAAUAAACGAGAAGACACAAGAUAUUUGAUGCCCUGUCUUUCCCCUACUGGUGGCUACAUCAAGAGUACCGUCCACCGAGUAAGCAUCCCGCCCAAGGACCAGCAGCAGUAUGAUCGUCUCGGUCUUCUUUAUUUUGCUCGUUCUCAAUUUUGUCCCUCGCCACUGAUGGUAUUAGAAUGAAGAAUAACAUCGAUCGCUGGCAGAUAGAGUUAGAUAUCCCAGUUGCAAAUUGCAAACAGGGUACCUAACAUUCUUUUUUUCUAAAUGCAUACUUGGACGAUGCCAAAUAUGAAACACGAACCAGUUAUCUGGUUGGGGGAGCUGGGAACAUUGCACGAUGCUGGGAAUAUUCUCUGCCUAGAGUUCUGAGUUUUAUGGGAAGAAAUACGUUAUGAUGGACCGAAAACCAGCAUUUCGGGCAUACUGUACGAUAUGACAGAGCGAGAAUCGUAUAUGUUAAUGACCACCUCAAUCAAUGAUAUAAUUAAUGAUCCAAGCAUGUUAUGUCAAUCUUGGAUGAAGAUGCUCGUCCCCCU